This 633-nucleotide ribosomal RNA is filed under the name Triticum aestivum (bread wheat). Its description in RNAcentral is "partial small subunit ribosomal RNA". Lineage: Eukaryota; Viridiplantae; Streptophyta; Magnoliopsida; Poales; Poaceae. The record is from RNAcentral.
AUGCCGCCCGCCGCCAUGGCGCCGCGGCAGGCCCCUCUGCAGGGGAUCCGCUCUACGACGAGCUCUGGCACGCCUGCGUCGGCCCGCUUGUCACCGUCCCGCUCGUCAGGGACCUCGUCUUCUACUUCCCGCAGGGCCACAUCGAGCAGUCUCCAGAUGGAGCGCCUGGACCCUGUCUCCAAGCGUGAGGCCAAGAAGGCCAGCCACAAGGCGAAUGUGGAGCGCCGCAUAAAGCCUGCACCCCCAACCAGCGACCAGAAGGAGGCUGAGAAGCGCAGGCUAGAUGAGAGGAAGCAGGAGCGGUACGCCAUCGGGCUUGCCAGGGUGGCCAAGAAACAUGCUGCAAAGUCCGCCAAGACAAUUGCUGAAAAGGAGGACAAGCGCCGGCGUGCUGUUGCUGGAGUGUAUGUAGGCAUGGAGUAUGGAGUGGAAAGGGUCCGCGGAGAGUAUGGCUGGCAGAGCAGCCUCAUCCUCUUCAUGCCGGCUCGACUGCCUCUGAUUCUUCCUGUUUGCUGCCUUGCCUUGCAGAUGCGGCAGCUCAAGGGCAAGGUCGACAUCUUCUCCAGGGCCGACGGAUCGGCGCUGUUCGAGAUGGGCAACACCAGGGUCAUCGCCGCCGUCUACGGCCCCUGA